Molecule: ribosomal RNA, 328 nt
Filed under: Potamonautes dentatus
Lineage: Eukaryota; Metazoa; Arthropoda; Malacostraca; Decapoda; Potamonautidae
Description: partial 12S ribosomal RNA
Source: RNAcentral
AUUUUCUUUAAAUUCAAAGAAUUUGGCGGUGAUUCAAUCUGGUCAGAGGAACCUGUUUUUUAAUCGAUAUAACACGUAAGAACUUACUUAUUUUUAUUUAGUUUGUAUACCAUCAUUAUCAGAUAAUUUUACAAAAAAUAAAUUAUUAAAAAUAAUUAUAUUAGUUAAAUUAGAUCAAGGUGCAGCUUAUGGAUAAGUUAAAGUGGGUUACAAUAAGAUUUACUUAGACGAAAUAAGAUUAGUUAUGAAUCUUAGGAAGGAGGAUUUGAUUGUAAUAUGAAUUUAAUAAGUUUAGGUGAAAGAAGCUCUGAAUUGUGUACACAUCGCC